RNAcentral lists this ribosomal RNA (253 nucleotides) under uncultured bacterium. RNAcentral describes it as "partial 16S ribosomal RNA". It matches the Rfam family "Bacterial small subunit ribosomal RNA", at positions 524 to 776 of the family's 1533-position model. The record is from RNAcentral.
UACGGAGGGAGCUAGCGUUGUUCGGAAUUACUGGGCGUAAAGCGCACGUAGGCGGAUUGUUAAGUCGGGGGUGAAAUCCUGGAGCUCAACUCCAGAACUGCCUUCGAUACUGGCGAUCUAGAGUCCGGGAGAGGUGAGUGGAACUGCGAGUGUAGAGGUGAAAUUCGUAGAUAUUCGCAAGAACACCAGUGGCGAAGGCGGCUCACUGGCCCGGUACUGACGCUGAGGUGCGAAAGCGUGGGGAGCAAACAGG